Molecule: transfer RNA, 77 nt
Filed under: Candidatus Acetothermia bacterium
Lineage: Bacteria; Candidatus Bipolaricaulota
Also listed under: 3 other names
Description: tRNA-Pro
Rfam family: tRNA
About the family: Transfer RNA (tRNA) molecules are approximately 80 nucleotides in length. Their secondary structure includes four short double-helical elements and three loops (D, anti-codon, and T loops).
Source: RNAcentral
CGGGGAGUGGCGCAGCCUGGUAGCGCGCCUGCUUUGGGAGCAGGAAGUCGCUGGUUCAAAUCCAGUCUCCCCGACCA